UCAGAAUAUUUUGUUGCCCUGCUUAAAACAUUCCAGUGGGCUUCCUAAUUGCUUAGAAUAAAACCACCUUUAUUAAAUGAACUAUAAGAUCUUCUGUGAGCUGCCCCUGACGCCCUUGCCAGCCUCGUCUUGCUCACUAUGCUUCGGACACCUUAAAGAGGCUUAUUCUGACUCACCAAAAAAACUACACCCCCACUCUCCAUCUCAUCAGCUCCUCGUAUUUUCUUCAUAACACUCAUCACUGGGUAGGAUCAUCUUGUCUGUGUUCAGGUUUCAUCAUCUGUGUCCCUCCCACCAGCAGUGGGGACUCCACAAGCACCAGAAGAAUCUGUCCCAUUUACCGUUGCUUCCUUAGCCUCCACCACAGUGCCAGGGAACAGCAGUGAGUGCCAGGCUUCUCCGCUGUGGGUUAGAUCAUUCAAACCCCUGGCACCUCUCUUCAGAAUUCCUACCCAGAAUCUCCCAGGAAAGAGCACCGAAGACAGAGGCAAAGACCCGUGUCCCGGUUCUGCCUGAAAGGCACCACCCCCUGUGUGAUCUUGGGCAAGUUACUUAACUUCUCCUAGUCUCCACUUCCUCAUUUCUAAAGUGACAGCCGUAUGUGAUAGAUUUUUUUUUUGUAAGAAUAAAAUAUGAGUGUUCUCAUAGCCUUGGGGGAGGCGACAGCAGUUGUUCUCUUUCAGGAGUAAAAGCAUUUGCCUCUCAGGGAGGGGAGUGACUACAGGGCCACUCCCGUGGGACUUUUCUCACCCCUUGUCCAUGCCCCUUCUUGUUGGUUUUCUUCAUGUUGUUUUUUUGUCUCUGCUGUGACUAUAUUUUGAGUGACUGUAUGGAUGGUAAGCUCCAUGUUAGUCCAUCAACAAGUAUAUUUUUGAGAGCUCGCUGUAAGUGACGGCUGUAAAAACCAGUUCCUGCCCUCAUUCAGGGACGCUCUGCCUGGUCCCUGGAGGGCAGGGGUCCUGUCGUCCUCUUUGGCUGCUCUACAAAGUUCUGUCAGGGUUCUGGAUAAGUGGGUUAGUUGGUGUGCCUGCCACGGAAAAGACCUGCCCUGAGAGCAUUCAUCAUUCAGCAGAUGAGAUUUCCCAAGGGCCUGUAAUGUCGGGCGCCAGGAGUUCGGGAUGAGUCACACUUGAUUGCUGAGUUCACAUCGCACCUAGACUCGAGGAAGAACAGGGCUGGGGCAUCUGACUCUUCGCUGAGCAUGCUGAGAAAUGCAAUAUGUACAAUGCAAAACUUAUUCGGAAGCACUUAAGCACCCAUUUUGCACCAGGAACCAAGGACGCAAAAUUCAAGGACCCCCUCACGCCAGGGAGUUCACCUGCAAGAUCAAAUAAAAUCAUCAGGGCUCCAGACCAUCCUCUGUGUGUGCAUAGCAAAGGAAACGCUAUCUUCAGGUUUCUCUGUGGUGCUCUCUGUGCACCUGUCACAACUCACUCAGUUGACAUCUCUGCUGACAGCCAGGCCCAGGAUAUCUGAGUGCUUGUUUUGUAGACAGCCCUCACUCUCUAUUUGUUCUCAUGGUUUGUGGUAACAACUCCUCAUGGAAACACUGACUGUACUCCAGGGAAACUGCCCCGAAGUGCCAGGGCACAGCCCAAAAUUGUAUUUGUAUUACACAUUCAUAAUGUAUAUGUAUAUGUAUAUUUAUACAUACCUGCUAUAUAUAUGUAUAAAUAAUUUUCUACAAUGAGUCGGUAUCACUUUUAUGAUAAGGCAGAAAUAAAAGUGUGCUUUGUGUUUCUCUUUA
This is a long non-coding RNA of Hipposideros armiger (great roundleaf bat), 1747 nucleotides long. RefSeq lists it as uncharacterized. The record is from RefSeq and is a predicted model, not a curated record. The transcript is spliced from 2 exons. Lineage: Eukaryota; Metazoa; Chordata; Mammalia; Chiroptera; Hipposideridae.